RNAcentral lists this long non-coding RNA (443 nucleotides) under Carica papaya (papaya). RNAcentral describes it as "long non-coding RNA (CPAP_LNC001640)". Lineage: Eukaryota; Viridiplantae; Streptophyta; Magnoliopsida; Brassicales; Caricaceae. The record is from RNAcentral.
GACCCCAUUGGCCACUCACACACACAAUACCAUUUUCGCUCAUCACCAACAUCAGUGACUCAUGCUCACUCCUCCACACCUCGACCCCAAUAGGCCACGCACACACACAAUUCGUCCACACCUCGACCCCAAUAGGCCACGCACACACCCAAUCUGUCCACUCCUCGACCCCAGUAUGCCACGCACACACGCAAUACCAUUCUCAUACGUCACCAACAUCGGCGACUCAUGCUCACUACUCCAUACCUCGACCCUAAUAGGCCACGUACACACACAAUCCGUCCACACCUCGACCUCAAUAGGCCACACACACACACAAUCCGUUCUCGCACGUCACCAACAUCGGUGACUCAUGCUCACUACCCCACACCUCAACCACAAUAGGCCACGCACACACACCAUCCGUCUACACCUCGACCCCAAAAGGCCACGCACACACACAA